RNAcentral lists this ribosomal RNA (254 nucleotides) under uncultured bacterium. Its description in RNAcentral is "partial 16S ribosomal RNA". It matches the Rfam family "Bacterial small subunit ribosomal RNA", at positions 524 to 776 of the family's 1533-position model. The record is from RNAcentral.
UACGUAGGAGGCAAGCGUUGUCCGGAAUUACUGGGCGUAAAGGGCGCGUAGGCGGCCGAUCAAGUCAGGCGUGAAAUUCCCGGGCUCAACCUGGGGGCUGCGCUUGAGACUGGUUGGCUAGAGGCCGAGAGAGGGUGGUGGAAUUCCCAGUGUAGCGGUGAAAUGCGCAGAUAUCGGGAAGAACACCCGUGGCGAAGGCGGGUCUCUGGGCCGGAUACUGACGCUGAGGAGCGAAAGUGUGGGGAGCGAACAGG